AUUGAACGCUGGCGGCAUGCUUUACACAUGCAAGUCGAACGGCAGCACGGGGGCAGCCCUGGUGGCGAGUGGCGAACGGGUGAGUAAUACAUCGGAACGUGCCCGGUCGUGGGGGAUAACGUAGCGAAAGUUACGCUAAUACCGCAUACGAUCUGAGGAUGAAAGCGGGGGACCUUCGGGCCUCGCGCGAUUGGAGGGGCCGAUGUCCGAUUAGGUAGUUGGUGGGGUAAAGGCCUACCAAGCCGACGAUCUGUAGCUGGUCUGAGAGGACGACCAGCCACACUGGGACUGAGCCACGGCCCAGACUCCUACGGGAGGCAGCAGUGGGGAAUUUUGGACAAUGGGCGCAAGCCUGAUCCAGCCAUUCCGCGUGCAGGACGAAGGCCUUCGGGUUGUAAACUGCUUUUGUACGGAACGAAAAGGCUCUGGCUAAUACCUGGGGCUCAUGACGGUACCGUAAGAAUAAGCACCGGCUAACUACGUG
RNAcentral lists this ribosomal RNA (484 nucleotides) under uncultured bacterium. RNAcentral describes it as "partial 16S ribosomal RNA". It matches the Rfam family "Bacterial small subunit ribosomal RNA", at positions 30 to 507 of the family's 1533-position model. The record is from RNAcentral.